AUAUAUUGCCUGUAUGCUGUC
Molecule: microRNA, 21 nt
Filed under: Rosa chinensis
Lineage: Eukaryota; Viridiplantae; Streptophyta; Magnoliopsida; Rosales; Rosaceae
Description: sRNA RchiOBHm_Chr7g0211415
Source: RNAcentral